GGGGAUGUAGCUCAGCUGGGAGAGCGCCGCGUUCGCAAUGCGGAGGCCAGGAGUUCGAUCCUCCUCAUCUCCACCA
RNAcentral lists this transfer RNA (76 nucleotides) under Desulfomicrobium sp. Its description in RNAcentral is "tRNA-Ala". It matches the Rfam family "tRNA". From Rfam's summary of the family: Transfer RNA (tRNA) molecules are approximately 80 nucleotides in length. Their secondary structure includes four short double-helical elements and three loops (D, anti-codon, and T loops). Lineage: Bacteria; Pseudomonadati; Thermodesulfobacteriota; Desulfovibrionia; Desulfovibrionales; Desulfomicrobiaceae. RNAcentral also lists the same sequence under 4 other names. The record is from RNAcentral.